UACGAAGGGGGCUAGCGUUGCUCGGAAUCACUGGGCGUAAAGGGUGCGUAGGUGGGCAGGUAAGUCAGUGGUGAAAUCUUUGGGCUUAACCCGAAAACUGCCAUUGAUACUAUCUGUCUUGAAUGUUGUGGAGGUGAGCGGAAUAUGUCAUGUAGCGGUGAAAUGCUUAGAUAUGACAUAGAACAUCGAUUGCGAAGGCAGCUCACUACGCAAAUAUUGACACUGAGGCACGAAAGCGUGGGGAGCAAACAGG
RNAcentral lists this ribosomal RNA (253 nucleotides) under uncultured bacterium. RNAcentral describes it as "partial 16S ribosomal RNA". It matches the Rfam family "Bacterial small subunit ribosomal RNA", at positions 524 to 776 of the family's 1533-position model. The record is from RNAcentral.